Molecule: long non-coding RNA, 428 nt
Organism: Salvelinus namaycush (lake trout)
Lineage: Eukaryota; Metazoa; Chordata; Actinopteri; Salmoniformes; Salmonidae
Exons: 5
Source: RefSeq, a predicted model, not a curated record
GGCCGUUUUAUGUGUGGAUUUAUUGGCGGAAUAGAGGAGCUUGUGCAUUUCAGGCCCACCCCCACUCCCCGUGUCAUUGAUGAUGUCUCCUGGGUGUUCGACCACGGGGCAGGGGUUUCCAGUACCUGGUUGACUGGGAGGGUUAUGGCCCAGAGGAGAGGUGCUGGGUUCCUGCUAGAGACAUCCUGGAUCCAGCCCUCAUCGCCGACUUCCACCGCUGACACUCCGGUCAACCAGGUUGCAUAGAAUGUCUGUUUAAGCAGGGAACUUGGCUUGCCAAGAGAGGGAGAGGAGAGAGAGAGGGCUACGGGGAGAUGAGUGACCUGCUUUUCAACAGUUCCUCGUCGUGUAUGAGCUGAGCCAAGAGCUUAGUGCCACAUUGAUAGGAGAACCUGAGCCCUAGGACCAUACGUCAGGACUACCGGGCA